GGAUAACGUUUGGAAACGAACGCUAAUACCGCAUGAUAUUAUUGAGCUGCAUGGCUUGAUAAUCAAAGGAGCAAUCCGCUGAAAGAUGGGCUCGCGUCCGAUUAGGUAGUUGGCGGGGCAACGGCCCACCAAGCCGACGAUCGGUAGCCGGACUGAGAGGUUGAACGGCCACAUUGGGACUGAGACACGGCCCAGACUCCUACGGGAGGCAGCAGUGAGGGAUAUUGGUCAAUGGGGGAAACCCUGAACCAGCAACGCCGCGUGAGGGAAGACGGUUUUCGGAUUGUAAACCUCUGUCCUCUGUGAAGAUAAUGACGGUAGCAGAGGAGGAAGCUCCGGCUAACUACGUGCCAGCAGCCGCGGUAAUACGUAGGGAGCAAGCGUUGUCCGGAUUUACUGGGUGUAAAGGGUGCGUAGGCGGCUUUGCAAGUCAGAAGUGAAAUCCAUGGGCUUAACCCAUGAACUGCUUUUGAAACUGCAGAGCUUGAGUGGAGUAGAGGUAGGCGGAAUUCCCGGUGUAGCGGUGGAAUGCGUAGAGAUCGGGAAGAACACCAGUGGCGAAGGCGGCCUGCUGGGCUCUAACUGACGCUGAGGCACGAAAGCGUGGGUAGCAAACAGGAUUAGAUACCCUGGUAGUCCACGCUGUAAACGAUGAUUACUAGGUGUGGGUGGACUGACCCCAUCCGUGCCGGA
This 693-nucleotide ribosomal RNA is filed under the name uncultured bacterium. RNAcentral's name for it is "bacterial SSU rRNA". It matches the Rfam family "Bacterial small subunit ribosomal RNA", at positions 141 to 850 of the family's 1533-position model. The record is from RNAcentral.